RNAcentral lists this ribosomal RNA (254 nucleotides) under uncultured bacterium. RNAcentral describes it as "partial 16S ribosomal RNA". It matches the Rfam family "Bacterial small subunit ribosomal RNA", at positions 524 to 776 of the family's 1533-position model. The record is from RNAcentral.
UACGUAGGGGGCAAGCGUUAUCCGGAUUUAUUGGGCGUAAAGCGCGCGCAGGCGGUCACGGGCAGUGGCGCGUGGAAUCUCCCGGCUCACCCGGGAGGGGCCGCGUCAAACGACGUGACUCGAGGCAGGGAGAGGGUCGCGGAACGGGCGGAGUAGGGGUGAAAUCCGCAGAGACCGUCCGGAACACCAAUGGCGAAGGCAGCGACCUAGACCUGUCCUGACGCUCAGGCGCGAAAGCGUGGGGAGCGAACGGA